RNAcentral lists this long non-coding RNA (566 nucleotides) under Brachypodium distachyon (stiff brome). RNAcentral describes it as "long non-coding RNA (BDIS_LNC004857)". The record is from RNAcentral. Lineage: Eukaryota; Viridiplantae; Streptophyta; Magnoliopsida; Poales; Poaceae.
CAUCGUCUUCCAUACGUGUGUCGGAGGCGGCGCUGCUCUUCAGCGGGGUGCUCUUUCGCGGGGGUAGAGGAGGAAGGAGUGUAACAACCCAAAAUUUCAAACUUUUACAUGUGCAUUGCAUUCAUAAGCAUCAUGCCACAAUUGCAUAUUUGAAUUUUUGAAUCACAAAAGGCUUUAAGAGAUUUUGUUUACAUCCCUGUAACCCUUGGAUUUUCAAACCAAUAGGGUUGAUAUAUAAAAAGAGUUUAAUGCAUAUAUAAGCUAUCCCAUAAUUUUUGGUUAAUUAUUUGGAGUUGAAAAAGUAUUUUAUUUAAAUAGUUAUAUGGCCCUAAAGCAUUUAUAGGGCAAAUGUAUCUUUACAUAUUUUAUUUUGAAGAGAAACUACUUCAAAAAGUUGUAUCUUGGUAGAACAUGAUUUUACAAAUUUUCUGGAAUUUAUUUGGACCAAUUUGGAGUUCAAACUCAAAAGAUAUUAAAGAAAUGAGAAAAGCAGAAAAAGAAAAGGCUAAAAGAAAAAAAAAAAUAGAAAACCGGACCGGCCCGGCCAAAAUGGGCCGAACCGGCCC